GAUCGUCUAACCUGUUCGUCUAAUGCUUUCUCUCAGAUGCUAGUAGGGUGGAUCCUGCAAAGAAAACACUCUGACGCUCAAGUUAGAUAGGUAAUUGGGAAACUGAGUGAAUAUAUAGUUUAGAAAAAGUGUCUCUACCUGACAAAUGGUCUCCCAUUUACAAUCCUUACAUUCAAAACUGACCAUUAAUUACCGUAAACCGUCGUAUCUUCCGUUACUUUCCCAUCAAAGCUAAUCAAUGCUUCUCCGCGCCACCAUCAUUCUGACUUUAGGUCCAACCGACCGAUCAUCUUGUAAACGGGUUUUACUCCCCCCGGUCCUUCCGGUCAGUCUAACCGACCCCUUACACUACAAAAGUUAUUUUUUUAUGAAUAAAAUAAAUCUAACUUCUAGAAAACAAUAAAAGUAAUUAAGUGAAAUAUAUAGUAAAAACUUCAUUAGGGUUCGGUUUCCU
This 454-nucleotide long non-coding RNA is filed under the name Vigna radiata. Its description in RNAcentral is "long non-coding RNA (VRAD_LNC009810)". Lineage: Eukaryota; Viridiplantae; Streptophyta; Magnoliopsida; Fabales; Fabaceae. The record is from RNAcentral.